CCUUGCCAGCCCGCUCAAGAACUCAAAGGAAUUGACGGGGCCCGCACAAGCGGUGGAGUAUGUGGUUUAAUUCGAUGCAACGCGAAGAACCUUACCUGGUCUUGACAUCCCGGAGACCCUUAGGAAACUAGGGGGUGCUUCCAUCUGGAAGAAUCUGGAGACAGGUGCUGCAUGGCUGUCGUCAGCUCGUGUCGUGAGAUGUUGGGUUAAGUCCCGCAACGAGCGCAACCCUUGCCUUUAGUUGCCAGCAGUUCGGCUGGGCACUCUAAAGGGACUGCCGGUGUUAAACCGGAGGAAGGUGGGGAUGACGUCAAGUCCUCAUGGCCUUUAUGACCAGGGCUACACACGUACUACAAUGGCCGAUACAAAGGGCAGCGACACUGCGAGGUGAAGCCAAUCCCGUAAAAUCGGUCUCAGUCCGGAUUGGAGUCUGCAACUCGACUCCAUGAAGUUGGAAUCGCUAGUAAUCGUGGAUCAGCAUGCCACGGUGAAUACGUUCCCGGGCCUU
RNAcentral lists this ribosomal RNA (508 nucleotides) under uncultured Desulfobulbus sp. RNAcentral describes it as "bacterial SSU rRNA". It matches the Rfam family "Bacterial small subunit ribosomal RNA", at positions 903 to 1382 of the family's 1533-position model. The record is from RNAcentral. Lineage: Bacteria; Pseudomonadati; Thermodesulfobacteriota; Desulfobulbia; Desulfobulbales; Desulfobulbaceae.